CGCGGGGUGGAGCAGUUCGGUAGCUCGUCGGGCUCAUAACCCGAAGGUCACAGGUUCAAAUCCUGUCCCCGCCAC
RNAcentral lists this transfer RNA (75 nucleotides) under uncultured Acidimicrobiaceae bacterium. Its description in RNAcentral is "tRNA-Met". It matches the Rfam family "tRNA". Rfam says of the family: Transfer RNA (tRNA) molecules are approximately 80 nucleotides in length. Their secondary structure includes four short double-helical elements and three loops (D, anti-codon, and T loops). The record is from RNAcentral. RNAcentral also lists the same sequence under 1 other name. Lineage: Bacteria; Bacillati; Actinomycetota; Acidimicrobiia; Acidimicrobiales; Acidimicrobiaceae.